RNAcentral lists this ribosomal RNA (294 nucleotides) under uncultured bacterium. RNAcentral's name for it is "partial 16S ribosomal RNA". The record is from RNAcentral.
GGACUACCGGGGUAUCUAAUCCGUUUUGCUCCCCACGCUUUCAUGCCUCAAUGUCAGAAACUGAAUAGUCAACUGCCUUCGCCUAUUUUGGUGUUCCUCUGUAUAUCUAUGCAUUUCACCGCUCCACACAGAAUUCCGUCAACCUCUCCAGCACUCGAUUAUUACAGUAUUAGCAGCUGCUAGAAGUUGAGCUUCUAUUUUUUACUACUAACUUAUAAUAACAUCUACGCAUCCUUUACGCCCAAUAAAUCCGGAUAACGUUCGUCACCUAUGUAUUACCGCGGCUGCUGGCAC